This 482-nucleotide long non-coding RNA is filed under the name Oryza sativa (Asian cultivated rice). Its description in RNAcentral is "long non-coding RNA (OSAT_LNC000033)". Lineage: Eukaryota; Viridiplantae; Streptophyta; Magnoliopsida; Poales; Poaceae. The record is from RNAcentral.
GGUUUGGUUUAAGAAUAUGAGAAAGCUGCCUGAUGGAUUGGGGCAACUUCCAUCUCUCCAGGAACUAGUUCUGAAGAGGACAUCACUUGCAAAGAUCUACAAGGGAAAGGAUGCAAGGUCAGUAACAUCCCCUCUUUCCCAGCCUUCAGUUCUGUACUGUUUUGAUUCUGUUGCCAUUUCCAUUCUGAACUUAGUGUGUCAUGCAAUAGUUUUUAGUACAAGCAAAUAAGCUAGGGGUCAUUUUCUCUGUAGGUCCAAAACGGUUUGUGAACUUUGUACGAAGCAAAUCCCUUUUUUUUUGUUGAAUAAUGAUCGAACAAUUCAUGGUUUGACAUCAUUCCUUGAAGCAAAAAAUAAAUAAAUCUCAGCAUAUUUUUUUACAGCCGCAUCUUGAGGAGUAGGGGCAGCCAGCGACAACAGUAGCAGUGGAGAGAGUUGGGGAAGAUGAGCUGCUGUUGCUGGCCGAGGCCAAGCAGAGCACC